UAACCAGGAUCAGAGACACUGAGGUCCUGACUCCAAGUCCCCCCCACCGUGGCCCCCCACCUCAUCCCAUUAACUGAUGACAACUUCUGAGGAAGACCCCAGUUGUGGUUUAAAGCUCCAGAAGAAUCUAGUUGUAGCAGUCUCUUAAGAGCCUCCCAGUCCAAAACAGAGGGAGCUGCCAUACUGGUUUAUUUACCCAGGUAAGUCAAAGUGAAGUCAGACCCCUCUUUGCACGGGAGACCUGACCUGUAACUUCCAGUUAGCGAGCUAACUUGGGGAGCUAUUGUGACAGCUUAUCACCAGUAUGUUAUCAGUGAGCUAGCAUGUUACCAGCUUGUCAGCUAUGGUGGAUCACCAACUAGCCCUGCUAGUAGUCAUCAACCUUCCAGGACUAUCACUACAGUGCGAGGACGCACGGAGGAAUAUUGCUGUGCAACUUCCCACGCACAAAAAGUUCAGAAAAAGGCUGCAAAGAUAUUGAAAGUACCAUUAAAUUAAUAACUUUGACUUCA
Siniperca chuatsi (mandarin fish) is the source of this 512-nucleotide long non-coding RNA. RefSeq lists it as uncharacterized. The transcript has 2 exons. The record is from RefSeq and is a predicted model, not a curated record. Lineage: Eukaryota; Metazoa; Chordata; Actinopteri; Centrarchiformes; Sinipercidae.